This is a long non-coding RNA of Carcharodon carcharias (great white shark), 410 nucleotides long. RefSeq lists it as uncharacterized. Lineage: Eukaryota; Metazoa; Chordata; Chondrichthyes; Lamniformes; Lamnidae. The record is from RefSeq and is a predicted model, not a curated record. The transcript is spliced from 2 exons.
AUGUGCUGCUCAAUGCAGAUCGUUGAAUUUGUGUGUUGAAAACUCCACUCCGCCCUCAGUUAAAACCUACAAAAUAAGUGUCCCUUAAGGCUCAGUGCGUGUGCAACAUCACGUCUUUCAGAUAGGAUUUCAAUAUGAACACUCACCUGCUGUCCGGAUGGAUGUAAAGGAUUCGAUGACACUAUUCGAGGAAGAGCGAGGGGGUUCUGGGAUUCGCCGUUGGAAACAGUGGGAAGCCUAGAGCCUCACGCAAAUGUUAAUGGAGUCAGUUGAUGUUGGUUGGGUGGAAUGUGUGUUGCCAACAUUGUUCCAGAAUGAAAUCCAUAGCAUUUUCAUAGCUGAUAAUAAAAAGGAAAUUUAUUUUUUCUUUUCCACGCUAUCAAAUAAAAUCCCAAUGUUUUAAGGUUUAA